RNAcentral lists this non-coding RNA (29 nucleotides) under Homo sapiens (human). The record is from RNAcentral. Lineage: Eukaryota; Metazoa; Chordata; Mammalia; Primates; Hominidae.
UGCAAGGUUUAUGGUUGUACUAAACAUGA